AGCUAGUUGGCGAGGCAACGGCCCACCAAGGCGACGAUCGGUAGCCGACCUGAGAGGGUGAUCGGCCACAUUGGAACUGAGACACGGUCCAAACUCCUACGGGAGGCAGCAGUGGGAAUAUUGGGCAAUGGGCGAAAGCCUGACCCAGCAACGCCGCGUGAGUGAAGAAGGCUUUCGGGUUGUAAAGCUCUGUUGUUGAGGACGAAGGAAGUGACGGUACUCAACAAGGAAGCCCCGGCUAACUACGUGCCAGCAGCCGCGGUAAUACGUAGGGGGCGAGCGUUGUCCGGAAUGACUGGGCGUAAAGGGCGUGUAGGCGGCCGAUUAAGUAUGGAGUGAAAGUCCUGCUUUCAAGGUGGGAAUUGCUUUGUAGACUGGUUGGCUUGAGUGCGGAAGAGGUAAGUGGAAUUCCCAGUGUAGCGGUGAAAUGCGUAGAGAUUGGGAGGAACACCAGUGGCGAAGGCGACUUACUGGGCCGUAACUGACGCUGAGGCGCGAAAGCGUGGGGAGCGAACAGGAUUAGAUACCCUGGUAGUCCACGCUGUAAACGAUGAAUGCUAGGUGUUGCGGGUAUCGACCCCUGCAGUGCCGGAGUAAACGCAAUAAGCAUUCCGCCUGGGGAGUACGGCCGCAAGGUUGAAACUCAAAGGAAUUGACGGGGGCCCGCACAAGCAGCGGAGCAUGUUGUUUAAUUCGAUGCAACGCGAAGAACCUUACCAUGUCUUGACAUCGAGGAAAAGCAUUAGAAAUAAUGUGCGGAUUCGUCCAUCCGAAGACAGGUGGUGCAUGGUUGUCGUCAGCUCGUGUCGUGAGAUGUUGGGUUAAGUCCCGCAACGAGCGCAACCCUUAUGGUCAGUUACUAACGGGUAAAGCCGAGGACUCUGACAAGACUGCCGGGGACAACUCGGAGGAAGGUGGGGACGACGUCAAAUCAUCAUGCCCCUUAUGACAUGGGCUACAAACGUGCUACAAUGGUGGUUACAAAGAGGAGCGAGCAUGUAAAUGUAAGCGGAUCUCAAAAAAGCCAUCUCAGUUCGGAUUGUGGGCUGCAACCCGCCCACAUGAAGUUGGAGUUGCUAGUAAUCGCGGAUCAGAAUGCCGCGGUGAAUACGUUCCCGGGCCUUGUACACACCGCCCGUCACACCAUGGGAGUUGGGAGCACCCGAAGCCGGUGAGGAGCCGUCGAAGGUGAGACUGAUGACUGGGGUGAAGUCGUAACAAGGUAGCCGUAUCGGAAGGUGCGGCUG
Molecule: ribosomal RNA, 1247 nt
Filed under: metagenome
Description: bacterial SSU rRNA
Rfam family: Bacterial small subunit ribosomal RNA
Source: RNAcentral